This 445-nucleotide ribosomal RNA is filed under the name uncultured bacterium. RNAcentral describes it as "SSU rRNA". It matches the Rfam family "Bacterial small subunit ribosomal RNA", at positions 26 to 518 of the family's 1533-position model. The record is from RNAcentral.
AGAACGAACGCUGGCGGCACGCCUAACACAUGCAAGUCGAGCGCCCAGCAAUGGGAGCGGCGGACGGGUGAGGAACACGUGGGAAUAUGCCUUUCGGUUCGGCACAACUGCGGGAAACUGCAGCUAAUUCCGGAUACGCCCUUACGGGGAAAGAUUUAUCGCCGAAAGAUUAGCCCGCGUCUGAUUAGCUAGUUGGUGAGGUAAUGGCUCACCAAGGCUUCGAUCAGUAGCUGGUUUGAGAGAACGACCAGCCACACUGGGACUGAGACACGGCCCAGACUCCUACGGGAGGCAGCAGUGGGGAAUCUUGGACAAUGGAGGAAACUCUGAUCCAGCGAUGCCGCGUGAGUGAUGAAGGCCUUCGGGUUGUAAAACUCUUUUACCAGGGAAGAUAAUGACUGUACCUGGAGAAUAAGCUCCGGCUAACUUCGACGCCAGCAGCCGC